RNAcentral lists this non-coding RNA (938 nucleotides) under Ranodon sibiricus (Siberian salamander). Its description in RNAcentral is "12S ribosomal RNA". It matches the Rfam family "Microsporidia small subunit ribosomal RNA". Lineage: Eukaryota; Metazoa; Chordata; Amphibia; Caudata; Hynobiidae. The record is from RNAcentral.
CAAAGGUUUGGUCCUAGCCUUAUUAUUAAUUAAAAUUUUAUUUACACAUGCAAGUCUCAGCACCCCUGUGAAAAUGCCCUUUAUUACCAAUAAGUAAACAAGGAGCAGGUAUUAGGCACACAUUAAUGCCCAUGACACCUUGCCAAGCCACACCUCCACAGGAAUUCAGCAGUGGUAAACAUUGAAUAAUAAGCGUCAACAAGCUUGAAUCAGUAAAAAUUUUAAGAGUUGGUAAAUUUCGUGCCAGCCACCGCGGUUAAACGAGAAACCCAAGUUAAUAAAAACGGCCUAAAGCGUGGUUAAACGAUAUUAAAAUAAAUAGAAAUAAAAAUUAAUUCAACUGUCGCACGUAUUUAUUGACCAUACAUCCAAAACCGAAAGAUAUUCUAAUAAACAAAUUACUUGACCCCACGAAAGCUAAGAAACAAACUAGGAUUAGAUACCCUACUAUGCUUAACCUUAAACUUUGGAACCACCCCGCCUGAGUACUACGAGCCAUAGCUUAAAACUCAAAGGACUUGGCGGUGCUCUAUACCCCCCUAGAGGAGCCUGUUCUAUAAUUGAUAAUCCCCGAUAAACCUCACCACUUAUUGCCAAUACCGCCUAUAUACCGCCGUCGUCAGCUCACCAUUUAAAUGAAUAAAAGUAAGCAUAAUGAUAAACAUAAAAACGUCAGGUCAAGGUGUAGCGAAUUAAGUGGAAAGAAAUGGGCUACAUUUUCUACACAGAAAAUACGAAUAAUCUUAUGAAAAAAUAUUUAAAGGUGGAUUUAGCAGUAAAAAGAAAAUAGAGUGUUCUUUUUAAACAGGCCCUAGAGCGCGCACACACCGCCCGUCACCCUCCUCAAAAAACCAAAUAAUAAUAAUAUAAUAAUAAAAACAUAAAAGAAGAGGUAAGUCGUAACAUGGUAAGUUUACCGGAAGGUGUACUUGGAUUAU